AAUUUAAUAUAAAUAGAUGAUACUUUAUGAAGUAGAAAUAAAAGUUUCUCGAUUUCUUCACUUUAAAAUAAUGAGGAGCAGCAUAUUUUCUGAAAUAAAAGGGAGGAAAAUUGCAAUAUAGUAAAGAAAAUUCAAGUUUCAUAAAAAUUGAAAUGGCACACAGACACAUUAUUGCAGUGUCAUUUAUCAACUGCAUUACAGAUUAUUAUAUGUAACAAUAUGUCAUGUUAUAUAAAUUAAAACAAUACUGAUACAUCAUUUUCAUUUCCUUUCUCAUACUCUGAUGAUAUGAAAUAAUAAAAUUUUCAAAAAUUAUUUGAUUCAUAAUUCAUUUUUCUAUCUAAAGGCCUGAUCCUCCCACUAUGGAUAAUAAACCCAAUUAAUUUACUAAAUGUAGUGGGUUGUUCGUCUGUUAGCCUAAAAGUCAGCUUAAUUUAAUAAAAUCAUUUCACAGACAUGAAGAGUUACAGACUAAUGUUUUUUUUUUUUUUCUUCUGUGCAUUAUAAUGAAGGCUUUAUAAAACUGCACAGCAUUUUUAGCUUUUUAAUCAACAUACUCUGUCCUACACCAACUACACUCAAAUUUCCUAUCAUGUAUGUCUAUGAAAGACGAUCAAACCAAUCAGAGUAGGUAUGGGGCGGGGCUGCACGUGCAACCCCGCCCCAGGUGCAGCCCCGCCUCGAUCUGCAGGCUGCAGCCGAGUGCUUCUCCGCAUGCGCGCUAAACACCGGAACACAAGAGCACCCUAACGGAAGCUAGAAUCCUUCUUGGCGCCGGGAAAAAGGUGGAUGGUUCGUUACCUCGUGGCUGAGCAAAAGGAACGUAGGCUACCCCUCUAGAGAAGCUUACCAAACUAUGACAACUUCUGCCUCGGAAAGAGUCCACACGGUUUCAUUUACCUCAGCACUGUGAUGUCUACUGACAAGAUGGAUAAAAUAUUCAUAUUACUUCAGAAGUUCAGACUGGAUAAAUACUACAAAAAAUUCAUUGAUCUUGGGAUUAAAGAAGAACUGGAUUUUUUUGACAGCGUCAAUGAUGUGACCUUAAAAACCAUGGAUUUUUCACAAGCAGAGAGGAACCGGUAUGACAAUAUGGUUGCUUAUCUGCGAAGAAUUGGCAAUGCACCAGUUCCAGAGAUGCAAGGAAUGCAUGUAAUGAAGUCUCUUAAUUCAUUUCGUAUAUCCUACCGAUUUCCAAAAUGUGCUGGGAUACAAGAAAUCACAGGUAUAGAUCCCUCACAAAAUACAGUGGAGGACCUGAUGCUGCGAAUCUGCCAUGAAAACAAGGUUGACCGAAACUUGUCUGUAUGCCUUUACACUGCUGAUGGUAUGCCUUUGACCGAUGACCCCUUUUUCAACACAUGGUCUUUGAAUGACAGACAUAUUGCAAGUGGGAGUGAACUGUAUGCCAUAUUUACACCAAGGGAAAAUUUAACAGAGUUACCACCAACGCAAAGACAGGCCAACAUCAGAAUUGAAGGACCGAGUGUCAUCCGCUGUCACAUAGCGUUACAGGGAGACUUUGAAAUCAAAGUCAACCUUGAAAGUGAUACACUGAGAGAUGUGACACUACGGCUUUCUCUCGAAAGUAGUAUACCAGCACCAGUUCUUCACAUCAGAGGUGAUGAGUAUAAUCAUGUUGACAAACUAAGUGAGCUUGGAGUCACAGAGGAUUCAGUUCUACAGUUCUCUCUGUCAUCAUUUGAUAAUGAGAAACCAAGUCCAAGUCUUUUGUUCCAAAAAGAUGUCAGACCCUCAGUGAAGCAAACAGAGAAAGGCCUAAGUGUUUUUCUGUCAACGCUCUAUGCCAUUAAACGAAAACACUGUGGAGAUGAAUUUAAGAAAGUGGUUGCAUAUAUUAGGAGACUGAGUGGAUGCAAUGCUUUGGCUCAAAGUUUAUUCCAAAUGAUCUGUGGGAACUUGCAUGUAACUAGAAACCAAAAGAUUGCUGUUGUUGAGGGUCUUUACUUUCUUUUCCGAGAGUUGUUACCAGAUCGUAAUGAAACAUCAGGUCCAAAGGUCAUUGAAGAUGGUGAUGUUUUUGAAUAUGCAAAUAUUUGCUGGGCUUACCUGAUUGCUCAAGGACAGGUAUGUUUGCAGUGUUAUUUUUUUUUAAUGUUUUUGAAUAUGCAAAAUUAUUUUUCAUUCUAAUAGCAUGGAGUACAAGUACUGCAGCCUGUUUCCCCAAUAACCAGACUGUAAUGUGCAUCUUAAAUGACCACAUGUACUUUAUACAUUUCACAAUUUUGUGAAGAAAAGUUAUUUACCAGACUUGACAUCUUUUAAAGAAAAAGUAAAUACAAUUCAUAUUUAAUAAUACUGUAUAAAAUAUAUAUAUAUAUAUAUAUAUAUAUAUAUAUAUAUAUAUACAAAUAAAUAAAAAUAUAAAUAAAAUAUACUGUCUUGG
Molecule: long non-coding RNA, 2407 nt
Organism: Cyprinus carpio (common carp)
Lineage: Eukaryota; Metazoa; Chordata; Actinopteri; Cypriniformes; Cyprinidae
Source: Ensembl